Molecule: long non-coding RNA, 534 nt
Organism: Hemicordylus capensis (graceful crag lizard)
Lineage: Eukaryota; Metazoa; Chordata; Lepidosauria; Squamata; Cordylidae
Exons: 3
Source: RefSeq, a predicted model, not a curated record
AGAAAAUCUGACCGAAGAGAAACUAAAAAGAAAAGAAAACUGUUUGUACCCUAGUAUCCAAAAUACAAAGGAACACUUGGACGAUAAUUGCCUACAUUACCAGAAAUGAUGAAAGACUUUCCAUUAAAAAGCAAUGAGGAAAGACCGUGCCUAACCCUAGGAAUAAGGAAAGAGACUGCAGGAAUAGCAUCAUGCUAUGUAGCAACCUGCCACCAACUCUGAAAUGGACAAUAAUGACAAAUGGACACAAGGGAUAAAACCCAAAACACACUGUGAAAUGUUAUCCCGGGCAGAUGCUUAGUAUAUAUUAUCUAGCACUGACAGUUACCCAAGUAUUGCCAUCUUCCCAGCCAUGGGCAUCAACUUCUGCUUUUAUUUGGUGAUUAUGAAAUUAAUCUGAUUCUCAGGCCAGCCCAGGAAGAAUUCUCUUUGUAGCAAAAUUCAUGGAGGAUUGGUCUAUCAGUUGCCAUUAGCCAUGAAAGCUAACUAGAACCUCCAUAUUCAGAGGCAGUAUAGCUUUGAGGACAACAGGGG